GACGAACGCUGGCGGCGUGCUUAACACAUGCAAGUCGAACGAAGAGCGACGGAAGCUUGCUUCUAUCAAUCUUAGUGGCGAACGGGUGAGUAACGCGUAAUCAACCUGCCCUUCAGAGGGGGACAACAGUUGGAAACGACUGCUAAUACCGCAUACGAUCUAAUCUCGGCAUCGAGGAUGGAUGAAAGGUGGCCUCUACAUGUAAGCUAUCACUGAAGGAGGGGAUUGCGUCUGAUUAGCUAGUUGGAGGGGUAACGGCCCACCAAGGCGAUGAUCAGUAGCCGGUCUGAGAGGAUGAACGGCCACAUUGGGACUGAGACACGGCCCAGACUCCUACGGGAGGCAGCAGUGGGGAAUCUUCCGCAAUGGACGAAAGUCUGACGGAGCAACGCCGCGUGAGUGAUGACGGCCUUCGGGUUGUAAAGCUCUGUUAAUCGGGACGAAAGGCCUUCUUGCGAAUAGUGAGAAGGAUUGACGGUACCGGAAGAGAAAGCCGCGGCUAACUACGUG
This 510-nucleotide ribosomal RNA is filed under the name uncultured bacterium. RNAcentral describes it as "partial 16S ribosomal RNA". It matches the Rfam family "Bacterial small subunit ribosomal RNA", at positions 28 to 507 of the family's 1533-position model. The record is from RNAcentral.